This 1613-nucleotide long non-coding RNA is filed under the name Brachypodium distachyon (stiff brome). RNAcentral describes it as "long non-coding RNA (BDIS_LNC004010)". The stretch from base 398 to 522 matches the Rfam family "MIR1120/MIR1122 microRNA precursor family". The record is from RNAcentral. Lineage: Eukaryota; Viridiplantae; Streptophyta; Magnoliopsida; Poales; Poaceae.
UCUGCAUCGUUGCUGCAAGAGGUUCCAGCCUCAGGUCCGGCGGCAGCGACCCUGCCACAAAACCCUAAGGUCUGCUACACAAGCCCAGCCCGAUGGAGCGGCCGGUCUUAACCACACCACUCUUGGCGUCCUCUUCUUCUCCCUCACUGGCUUCCUCCUGUACCGCGCUCUUCUCAGUGAAAUCCCAAGUCUGCAUCCUCCGCCUCCCCAAUCUACACCAACCUGUGGCAGCAAGGUGAGGUCCCAGUCUGUGCGGUUUUUGUCUUCAGCUCUUGCUGUCGAUGGAUAGCACGUUGUGUUUAUGGUGCAUGUAUAUGCACAUAUAAGGAUGGAUAUGAAUAUUUAUGGAAAAAACUCCUAAUUUGAUUUGUGUUGGAAAUUGAUUGCAGCAACUUGUCAAGUACUCCCUCCGUCCCAUAUUAAGUGACUCAAAUUUACCCAAAUAUUAAUGUAUCUAUACCUACAAAACGUCUAAAUACAUGUAAUAGAAAGUCACUUAAUAUGGGACGGAGAGAGUAAUAGUCUAGGCCAAGAGGAAAUCUAAUCUUGCACAUUGGUUGUUAGAUUCCAACUUGUCUCGCUUUCGUAUAUGUUCCAAAAGAUGUAUGUAUAGUCCGAACAGGACAAGCACGCAUACAGUUCAAAAUGAUACUCUCCAAGGACAGCUAAUAUAGGCACUGAAGGAUGGACAAACAGGUUGCUCUAUUAUCAUGUACCCAUUCAACUAAUCUAAUUAUACAUAUGGCUACAUUAUUUUAUGAGCAAUGGUUUCAAAGUAAAAUUUCGCUUGACUGCUAGGUCACGUUGUUGUGUAUUAGAUACAUUAAGAGUGAAUCUCCUUAACACUAACGGUCGGAUAUUUAAGGUAAAAUUUCCAUAUUUCAGUUUUAUUAAAAUAUCCAUAAAUAAUGCCCAAACAAAUCAUGUGUUUGUGUCCGUUAAGAUAGAGAACGGUCACAACUACUAUUUUCGUAAGCGUUGAUAGUUGUAUGACAAAAACAUGCAUGGGAAAAAUUCUGCUUUUCUAUUGAAUAAGAUACCAAUUUUGUAGGUCUAGGUAUCUUCCACUCUUUAGCUACCAUUCCAUAUGUAUUGACCGAAGUUGAUACGAUCUGUUUGCUUAUCUUGCUUGCUUAAUUUUGCUUUAUACUUUCAUCAAGAAUUUCACUUAAUAUAGUUUCCAAGGAUGAUAUGCUGUUCACUCAUUUUUCUACUCCCUCCGAUCCAUAAAAAGUGUCUUCCAGUUAGUACUAACUUACUUAAAAUGGGCGAUACUUUUUAUGGGUCGGAGGGAGUAAUAUAUAUUCAGCUUGUACCUUCUUGUUUAUUGCUUGAUUCAUUGCAUACUGCUCAAUGUAGAUGACACCGCAGAGCCAUACCAUCUCCUUCUGACCCCCACACUCUCUAGGCGACUGAAUUAACGCUCGUCCAGGAUCAUGGUUGAUUAUCGAGUAGUUUUUUUGAGCUACAAAUGUCUCUGUUGCUUCAACGGUGUUCGGUCUCCUCAUCUUUGGUACGUAAUGAACAACAAAUUAUUCAUUAGCUGGUCAUUCUGUUGUAGAAAUCGUAUGCAAUGUCGUGUAUAAACCAGGGUACUUUUCUUGAGCUCCCAG